RNAcentral lists this long non-coding RNA (603 nucleotides) under Anas platyrhynchos platyrhynchos (common mallard). Its description in RNAcentral is "lncRNA (ENSAPLG00000018461.1)". The record is from RNAcentral. Lineage: Eukaryota; Metazoa; Chordata; Aves; Anseriformes; Anatidae.
GUGAAACUACAAAGAGUAACUCAGCAGUUGCCAGCACGGCUGUGUUAGUAUGAGAGAAUAGCCAGAAGCAUGCAUGCCCAUCUACAUGACUGGCCACUCAGCUCCUUUGAAUCACAAAUGAGCCUCGAUGCACUGAUGCUUCACUGAACUGCAUACAUCUGUAUGUACAGAUAUUUUGGGACAGAGAGUCUGCCAAACACCUGCGGGACACCAGCAGCAUCAUACAGAUUUAGAAGUAAGAGCAUAUCCUGCAGACUGUGGUACAGGAUAUCACUUUGUCAGGACUUAAGAAGCUGCAGCCUGAACAGGCAGGGAAGUGGGGACAACAGCUGAGCCUUUUAUCCACUGAGCAUUUCAAGGGGCUGGAGGUACUCUGCAACAAGCUGCCCCUCCAGUGAGGAUGCAUGCCUGGCCACAUGAUUAAUAUGAGGAUGUCUGUCGAGAGUGCGUGAAAGAAUGGACAAAACAACAUUUCGGCACCAAAACGACCAAACCGGAACUUUGAUCCACUUUGCAAUGAUUCCCUUGCAAGAGAGCAGACCUGUGCCCAGCAGGUCCAGAGGCCAACUGUGAGUGAUCCACUCCUCACUAUUGAAAGCCACC